GACACCACUCGCCCCUCUUCUCUUUGACGCGUCCUAGACUCGAGACAUGAGAUGCUGGCAAUGGCGGACUCUGCGUGUUCCGGAGCGCCGGCUCCGAGUGCACCGAACCUCGUGAACGAGAUGCCCAGCCUGGACAACCACAAGCGGGGUUACUGACGACGAGUGCUGUUAACCCUAGUGACGACCCGUAGUGGAGAAUCGCUCUCCGAUACGAGUCGCCGCUAGGGCAGGACCCGACGCGUAACCCGGUCAACUCCACCUCGGACGGUAGUGUUGGACAUGCUGACAGUCUGGCGCUGGCAUCACUCUGAUACCAGAGAGAGUUCCGGUUGCCGCGUGUUGCUGCCGUUUAGGUGCGGUUACGUAGGGCGCGAACUUCCCAACUUUCGU
Molecule: unclassified non-coding RNA, 390 nt
Filed under: Cladosiphon okamuranus
Lineage: Eukaryota; Phaeophyceae; Ectocarpales; Chordariaceae
Description: ITS2
Source: RNAcentral